Molecule: long non-coding RNA, 4633 nt
Organism: Felis catus (domestic cat)
Lineage: Eukaryota; Metazoa; Chordata; Mammalia; Carnivora; Felidae
Exons: 2
Source: RefSeq, a predicted model, not a curated record
GAGCUGUCAGCACAGAGUCCGACGUGGGGCUUGAACUCACAGAGUGUGAGAUCAUGACCUGAGCUGAAGUCAGACGCUUAACCAACUGAGCCACCCAGGCACCCCGCUCUUUCUUCCUUUCUUGCUGUUUUGCAAUAGUCCAGAAGGUUCUGAACAUGGUUAGAGAUUCCCAGACCAUCCCACCUGGAAGUCCUCCAGCCUUCCCUGCCACCCCAAGGUGGGCCCAAAAGCAUCUUUCUUCUAGACUGCUGCCUGCUUGCUUUUAGACCAUGCCUGAGUCCUGGAGGUCCCACACAGCAGUCCCUGUUGACCGAAAAAUCAGUUAGUUCUUGUCACCAGGGCUCUCCUGGAGUAGUGGUAGGAGAGGGGCCAGCCAGAGUGGGGACCUGGGAGUCCACACACUGGGCUUCCCCUGGCCAGAAGGAGAGGACUGGGGCCUAGAGGCCACCUGGAACCCAAUGUGCCUUCAAAGGCUGCCUUCCUGGGCCAGAGGCUCAGCACAUGUGGGCCCAGGUUUCCUGUCACAGAGGGGCUGCCUCCCUGCUCCACAAGACUGGGAUUCCACUGUGGCCAGAUGGGGCCCUACAGAUGUGCUGGGGAGGUUAUCAGGUACCCUCAGCCCAGACCCGCCCACAUUCAGGAAAGGAAGAAGGGUGUGACUUCGGCGUAUUCAGAGGUUGCAGUGGCUCCCCAGAAAAGCCAGAACGGGGGCCAGGCCUCUGGCAGUGUGCCCGCCCUACCCCUGGGACCCAGGGGCUACAGAUCAAGGAGCAGAGAGCACAGCCCAACCUGGUGAGUGAGCGGUCGGGGACCCUAGACCAUCUCCUUCCCCUCAGCCUCUGUUUCCUCAUGUGUAUCAAGAUCUAGGAGGCAGCUCCUUCAGGAUCCCUAUUCUUCUUGGCCCUGGGAAGGUGGCGUUGCUUUGUAGUUUGACUUGGGGGGAAAUUGGGGAGUUCUGGCUUCUCUCUGGAGGGCCCACCCUGGGCCCUGGUUCAAGGGAUGUCUUGGGCUGAGUGGGGGCUUUAACACCAGAAUCCUUAGGGCUCCUGACCUGUAGGUAGAGAGCUUCUGGGCCCCAUGUUCAGCUCUGGGGACUCUGUCCAUCUGUAUGCUUAUGAGUCCCUGUGAGUCAUGGACUGAUUUGGAUGUUUCUGUCAUCCCGGCUUUCCAGGUGGCAUCAGGGUUUGCCCAGUCCCUCAGACCAGGUCUUAACCUGGCAUUGGUUAGUUCUUGGCAUGCUGCCCACAGGUAGGGGGGCCACCGGCAUGCCCCAGUGGGCUAGUCUGACUUGGACUCAGGUCUAGAGCUCACGUGUGUCUCUUUGCCACAUGUGUGUGAGUCUGUGUGGAGGGGCUUAGCUCCCAGGGCAUUAGAGUCCUUGGGGCUCACUGAGUCAGCUUGGCCUUCAGCAGGUUACAAAUGGGGAGAUCUGCUCUGAGAUUGCCAGGAAGACCAGGACCCACCUGGGGUCAGGGCACAGGGCUUGGGAGGUGACUGGGGCACACUCAGCUGAGAGGGAACAUGACUCUGGACCUCACAUAUGGCUGAUGCUCUGGGUACCAUUAGAUAGACAGGCCUUAAGCUGUCCCAAGCUGAGGUGGGGGGCUCCCAGAAUCACCUCUUGGUCCCACCCAGGCCCCUGAAGGGUUCUAGAACAAAGGAAGUCAGUAUGGUCAACCCAGGCCUGGAGUUGAGCUCAGCUUGGGUCAUUCAGAACUGAGGUUGGGGUGUGCUCACUGGCACACAGUCCACAUCCUUGUCCUUCCAACCCUGGGAGCCCCAGUCCACCUGUCCACAUCAGCACAGCCAUUCCUGAGUUCAAGGGUCAAGGCCCCAGACUGCGGAGCCUGAGUGCUCAUCCUCAUAAAGAUGGUAGCCUGUGUCUGGGGAAAACCGUACCCACAGUCCCCUGGGGAGUAGGAAGGUGCUCUUAGCCCUCUGACUGCCAGCCCAGUGUCUGGCAUCUGCUGGGAGGAUGUGAAUCUAGGUGGGGGGCUCUUGGGUGGGUGGGGACGGGAGAUGAGGAAACCUCAGGCGGGGAGAGUCAGUGGCUCAUUUCCACCCUUUCUGAUUUUGCAUGCCCAUGCAGAGGAAAUGAUCUUGUAAGUCCUCUUUGAAGUUAUUUGAGCAGAAACUCAGGGUUUAAAGUCGUCCCUACCCCUGCCAGGCAGGGCUGUAUGGUCCUGUGCUUAUUGCCAAGUUGCUCCAAAGCUGGCUUCUUGGUUUUGUGUAGAAAGGAGAAUACACCCACACCCUCUCGAUGUUCCACCUGGCCCCAAGAUCCCAACUGGUGGGAAGGAACCAAGCAGGAGGCAGGAGGGCAGCCCCCUCUACAGCCAGCUGACUUUCGUUUUCCAGGAAAGUGUUGAAAUCUGCAGUGGGUGAAAGAAUAUAUUUUGAAUUCACUUAAAAAAAUAUCAUAAAGGAAAAAGUCAGCGUCUUUAAAAUCCAGGCUUCCUAAAAAAAGGAUCACGUGCUUGGUGUAUUGUGAGUGAUAUAAUUCUGAUUUCCUUGGGGAAAGAUGACCAAGAGAAGGCAUGAGAAAGGCUUCAAGAAAACCUGUUCCUGCCCAGCAGUGAGGUUGGCCUGAACUUCCAGAGGCCUGGCUGCAGGUGCACUAGAUAUGGGAGGGACACAUCUGGAUCCUGUACCCUGGGAGCCACAGGUGACCUUUCCUGGGGAUUCUGCAGACGGCCACAUCUGUGGUCAUGCAUUCAUCCAUUCACUAAAGAUUUAUUGAGCACCUACUAUAUGACGUGGACUGUGCUGUGCUCUGGAAAGGCAACAAGGAGCCAUAACCACAGCAUACACCCUCUUGGAAUUUUGUCAGGGGUGGGCAGGGACCAGCCUGGGGUGGAGGAAGUUCAGGGGGGGCUUCCCUGAAGAGGUGAAGCUUGGACUGGACCUUGAUGUCUGGAUGGCAGUUCAUUCAGUAGGAGGAGGUCCAGGCAGUGGGAACAGCAUAUGCAAAGGCCAUGAGGUGAGUGCUCUGCUCCCCUGAGUGACUGGGGAAAGUCAGAGAAGGCAGUGGGCUAGAAAGGUAUGGGUGAGCCUGGGGGGUGGGCAGGGCCUGGUGGCUGUGGUAAUAACUUUGGCCUCACCAAACGUCCGCAUGAAUCCAGGGGAGUGUUUUAAACAAGAGGGUGGCACCAGGCUGUAUUGUACAAGUCCCCUGGAGGGACUGCAAUGGCAGUAAAGCCAUUUGGUGGGUGGAUCCAUUUCCUCCCUCCUGACUUUCCUCCCUCUCUGUUAAGACUUCCAGCCACACCUGCUUUUCUCUAAACCAGACCUAUGCAGUCUUGCUUGCAUAUCACCUCAUGCAGUCCUCUCCAUGUGGCAUUUGUAGCAUCUCUCUCCUGCAUUUUUGCCAGUUAAACUGGCAUUCCCCGCCCCCCUCCUCCACCCCAGACCUGUAGAAAUACCGACCUCCUCACCCAAUCACUCCCUGGCUGGCCCUUGACCAAGUGGAUAUCCAUCUUCCCACUGUGAAAACCAUUUGUUUUCAAGUUUGUUGAGCCAUGUGGCUGCAUGAGUUCUGGGCAAGCCACUGCGUGUAUGGUGUGCUGGCCAAUCGUGUGGACCUAGGACAGCUGCCUGGAGCCCAACUUGCCUUUGCUCCCUCCCACCUGUGUGACCCGUCAAGUACCUCAUCUCUCAGGCCUCAGUUUCCCCAUCUACAGGAUAGACACAAUGAUCUCUGUGAGGAUGGUUGGGAGAAUUCACAGAGCCAGCCUGUAGGAGGACGUGCUCAGAACUGGGUGCAGCCCACAGAAGAGCUCCAGAAACGUCUGAUUAUUACCACUGGGCAAAUGGCACGUGCCUGGGCACCAAAACAUUUUUGGCAAGAAUGUGACGUUUCAAAAUAGGCGUUGUAUGUUGCCAGCAUGAGAAAAGUCAGGACUCCAUUGGACUUCGUGAUCCUUGUUUGAUGGUUAAGGUUAUUUUUAUUUACAGUGAUAUCUCAGUGCUUAGAGCCUGUAGGGUUCUAGGCCCUCUGUGUUCAUCUCGCCCAUCCCCUCAUCUCUCAGAGAGGACCCUGGGCUCAGAGGGGAUGGUGGGGGGGGUGGUUGUUCUAGGCCAGCCAGAGAGAAGAUAGCAGGGCAGCGCUCUUAUCUCCUGGUCAUCCCAUCUCAGAGUAGAUGCUUGUCCCCCGCCCCCCGCCCCACUGCCGAAGACAGUGAGCCUCCUGAACAGAAGUGAGUUCCUUCUAUCCCUAUCUCUAUGCUGCAUUUCUCUGAAGGUUCAGGCCUCUGGAAGGGGACUCAGUUACCCAAUUUGGGGGAGCCACUGGACACACAGAGGCUUCCCACACUGUGCACACACCAGGUCCCAGAAGAAUUCUGUGGCACAUCUCAAGCCAAAGGAUCCUCCAGCCCAGGGUGACCUCGCUGGCCUCACGGGGAGGGCCCUGGUAGAUACUUGCUCACCCCAGGGUUUAUGUAAUGUCGUCUUUCCCAAUCGUCCUCAAAGCCAUGCUAUGACAUAAGCAAAUGUACGCCUCUGUCUGCCCCAGUGGCUGGCGGGUAUUUAUCGAGCACUUGCUAUGAGCUAGGCAUUUGCACGCAUUAUCCACCAAAUUACCCUCACUGUCCUCUUGAGAUAGCACUUACCACUGCAUUUUUUAAAAAAUAGA